RNAcentral lists this transfer RNA (94 nucleotides) under Actinomycetes bacterium. Its description in RNAcentral is "tRNA-Ser". It matches the Rfam family "tRNA". Rfam says of the family: Transfer RNA (tRNA) molecules are approximately 80 nucleotides in length. Their secondary structure includes four short double-helical elements and three loops (D, anti-codon, and T loops). RNAcentral also lists the same sequence under 1 other name. The record is from RNAcentral. Lineage: Bacteria; Bacillati; Actinomycetota; Actinomycetes.
GGAGGCGUCGCCUAGUCCGGUCUAUGGCGCCGCACUGCUAAUGCGGUUUGGGUUUUAACGCCCAUCGGGAGUUCAAAUCUCCCCGCCUCCGCCA